CACGUAGGGGCCAAGCGUUGUCCGGAUUUAUUGGGCGUAAAGAGCUCGUAGGCGGUUCGGUAAGUCGGGUGUGAAAACUCUGGGCUCAACUCAGAGAUGCCACUCGAAACUGCUGUGACUAGAGUCCGGUAGGGGAGCACGGAAUUCCUGGUGUAGCGGUGAAAUGCGCAGAUAUCAGGAGGAACACCGGUGGCGAAGGCGGUGCUCUGGGCCGGAACUGACGCUGAGGAGCGAAAGCGUGGGUAGCAAACAGG
RNAcentral lists this ribosomal RNA (254 nucleotides) under uncultured bacterium. RNAcentral describes it as "partial 16S ribosomal RNA". It matches the Rfam family "Bacterial small subunit ribosomal RNA", at positions 524 to 776 of the family's 1533-position model. The record is from RNAcentral.